This is a non-coding RNA of Chelonoidis abingdonii (Abingdon island giant tortoise), 161 nucleotides long. NCBI's taxonomy places the organism in Eukaryota, Metazoa, Chordata, Testudines, Testudinidae. The record is from RefSeq and is a predicted model, not a curated record.
UAUGGCAAGAAGGCGAGGAAUCAUUAAAAAGGGGAUAGAGAAUAAGAUGGAGAAUAUACUAUUGCCCUUAUGUAAAUCGAUGGUACGACCACGUCUUGAACACUGCGUAUAGAUGUGGUCUCCUCAUCUCAAAAAAGAUAUACUGGCACUAGAAAAGGUUC